RNAcentral lists this ribosomal RNA (265 nucleotides) under uncultured archaeon. RNAcentral describes it as "partial 16S ribosomal RNA". It matches the Rfam family "Archaeal small subunit ribosomal RNA", at positions 714 to 982 of the family's 1478-position model. The record is from RNAcentral.
AGACGUCUACAUUAGAUACCCCCGUAGUCCCAGCCGUAAACUAUGCGCGUUAGGUGUAUCGGUGACCACGAGUUACCGAGGUGCCGAAGGGAAACCGUGAAACGUGCCGCCUGGGAAGUACGGUCGCAAGGCUGAAACUUAAAGGAAUUGGCGGGGGAGCACCACAACGGGUGGGGCCUGCGGUUUAAUUGGACUCAACGCCGGGAAGCUCACCGGAUAAGACAGCGGAAUGAUUGCCGGGCUGAAGACUCUGCAUGACUAGCUG